GAUUUCUGGCGAACCGUUGCGGCCCGUGCUCGUUUCGGGCGUGUGUGCCGUGUCGUGUUUGUCAUCCUUCCAGAGAGCUGCGUCUACCAUUUACUUGGCCGGACGUAUCGAUCUGGAUCGAUUACUUUGAAAAAAUUAGAGUGUUUAAAGCAGGCUUAUGCUGUGAAUACAUUAGCAUGGAAUAAUAAUUUAGGACUUCGGUUCUAUUUUGUUGGUUUCUAGGACUGAAGUAAUGAUUGAUAGGGACAGUUGGGGGUGCUAGUAUUCCGCGGCCAGAGGUGAAAUUCUUGGAUUCGCGGAAGACUAACUACUGCGAAAGCAUU
RNAcentral lists this ribosomal RNA (323 nucleotides) under Trinematidae sp. RNAcentral's name for it is "SSU rRNA". The stretch from base 111 to 323 matches the Rfam family "Eukaryotic small subunit ribosomal RNA", at positions 741 to 955 of the family's 1831-position model. Lineage: Eukaryota; Cercozoa; Imbricatea; Euglyphida; Trinematidae. The record is from RNAcentral.